GACGAACGCUGGCGGCGUGCUUAACACAUGCAAGUCGAACGGUGAAGCGCCUUCCUUUUUGGUGGGUGUGGAUGAGUGGCGAACGGGUGAGUAACACGUGAGUAACCUGCCCCCUUCUUCUGGAUAACCGCAUGAAAGUGUGGCUAAUACGGGAUAUUCUGGGUCUGUCGCAUGAUGGGUCUGGGAAAGAUAUUGUUUCGGUGGGGGAUAGGCUCGCGGCCUAUCAGCUUGUUGGUGGGGUGAUGGCCUACCAAGGCGGUGACGGGUAGCCGGCCUGAGAGGGUGGACGGUCACACUGGGACUGAGACACGGCCCAGACUCCUACGGGAGGCAGCAGUGGGGAAUAUUGCACAAUGGGCGCAAGCCUGAUGCAGCGACGCCGCGUGAGGGAUGGAGGCCUGCGGGUUGUGAACCUCUUUCGCCAGUGAAGCAGGCCUGCCUCGUUUGUGGGUGGGUUGACGGUAGCUGGAUAAGAAGCGCCGGCUAACUACGUG
Molecule: ribosomal RNA, 494 nt
Filed under: uncultured bacterium
Lineage: Bacteria
Description: partial 16S ribosomal RNA
Rfam family: Bacterial small subunit ribosomal RNA
Source: RNAcentral